Molecule: ribosomal RNA, 575 nt
Filed under: bacterium
Lineage: Bacteria
Description: bacterial SSU rRNA
Rfam family: Bacterial small subunit ribosomal RNA
Source: RNAcentral
CGAGACCCUGGUGCUUGCACCAGGUGACAGUGGCAGACGGGUGAGUAACGCGUGGCAACCUACCCUUCACUACGGGACAACAGUUGGAAACGACUGCUAAUACCGUAUACGUCCUCCGGGAGAAAGAUUUAUCGGUGAUGGAUGGGGCCGCGUUAGAUUAGCUAGAUGGUGGGGUAAUGGCCUACCAUGGCGACGAUCUAUAGCGGGUCUGAGAGGAUGAUCCGCCACACUGGGACUGAGACACGGCCCAGACUCCUACGGGAGGCAGCAGUAGGGAAUAUUGGACAAUGGGCGAAAGCCUGAUCCAGCAACGCCGCGUGAAUGAUGAAGGCCUUAGGGUUGUAAAAUUCUUUCGCUAGGGAAGAUAAUGACUGUACCUAGUAAAGAAGCCCCGGCUAACUCCGUGCCAGCAGCCGCGGUAAUACGGAGGGGGCUAGCGUUGUUCGGAAUUACUGGGCGUAAAGCGUGCGUAGGCGGACUAGCAAGUAUAGGGUGAAAUCCCAGGGCUCAACCCUGGAACUGCCUUAUAAACUGCUAGUCUUGAGUUCUGGAGAGGUAAGUGGAAUUCCUAGUGU